This 1341-nucleotide ribosomal RNA is filed under the name uncultured bacterium. Its description in RNAcentral is "16S ribosomal RNA". It matches the Rfam family "Bacterial small subunit ribosomal RNA", at positions 28 to 1381 of the family's 1533-position model. The record is from RNAcentral.
GACGAACGCUGGCGGCGUGCUUAACACAUGCAAGUCGAACGGUAAGGCUCCAGCUUGCCGGGGUACACGAGUGGCGAACGGGUGAGUAACACGUGGGUGACCUGCCCUGCACUUCGGGAUAAGCCUGGGAAACUGGGUCUAAUACCGGAUAGGACCGCACCGUGAGGGUGUGGUGGAAAGUUUUUUCGGUGUGGGAUGGGCCCGCGGCCUAUCAGCUUGUUGGUGGGGUAAUGGCCUACCAAGGCGGCGACGGGUAGCCGGCCUGAGAGGGUGGACGGCCACAUUGGGACUGAGACACGGCCCAGACUCCUACGGGAGGCAGCAGUGGGGAAUAUUGCACAAUGGGCGGAAGCCUGAUGCAGCGACGCCGCGUGGGGGAUGACGGCCUUCGGGUUGUAAACUCCUUUCACCAUCGACGAAGGGUUUCUGACGGUAGAUGGAGAAGAAGCACCGGCUAACUACGUGCCAGCAGCCGCGGUAAUACGUAGGGUGCGAGCGUUGUCCGGAAUUACUGGGCGUAAAGAGCUCGUAGGUGGUUUGUCGCGUCGUCUGUGAAAUUCCGGGGCUUAACUCCGGGCGUGCAGGCGAUACGGGCAUAACUUGAGUACUGUAGGGGAGACUGGAAUUCCUGGUGUAGCGGUGAAAUGCGCAGAUAUCAGGAGGAACACCGGUGGCGAAGGCGGGUCUCUGGGCAGUAACUGACGCUGAGGAGCGAAAGCAUGGGGAGCGAACAGGAUUAGAUACCCUGGUAGUCCAUGCCGUAAACGGUGGGCGCUAGGUGUGGGUUUCCUUCCACGGGAUCCGUGCCGUAGCUAACGCAUUAAGCGCCCCGCCUGGGGAGUACGGCCGCAAGGCUAAAACUCAAAGGAAUUGACGGGGGCCCGCACAAGCGGCGGAGCAUGUGGAUUAAUUCGAUGCAACGCGAAGAACCUUACCUGGGCUUGACAUAUACAGGAUCGCGCCAGAGAUGGUGUUUCCCUUGUGGCUUGUAUACAGGUGGUGCAUGGUUGUCGUCAGCUCGUGUCGUGAGAUGUUGGGUUAAGUCCCGCAACGAGCGCAACCCUUGUCUUAUGUUGCCAGCACGUUGUGGUGGGGACUCGUAAGAAACUGCCGGGGUUAACUCGGAGGAAGGUGGGGAUGACGUCAAAUCAUCAUGCCCCUUAUGUCCAGGGCUUCACACAUGCUACAAUGGUCGGUACAGUGGGUUGCCAGUCCGUGAGGGCGAGCUAAUCCCGCAAAGCCGGUCUCAGUUCGGAUCGGGGUCUGCAACUCGACCCCGUGAAGUCGGAGUCGCUAGUAAUCGCAGAUCAGCAACGCUGCGGUGAAUACGUUCCCGGGCCU